Molecule: ribosomal RNA, 253 nt
Filed under: uncultured bacterium
Lineage: Bacteria
Description: partial 16S ribosomal RNA
Rfam family: Bacterial small subunit ribosomal RNA
Source: RNAcentral
UACAGGGGGUGCAAGCGUUGUUCGGAAUUACUGGGCGUAAAGGGUCUGUAGGUGGCUUGCUAAGUCAGACGUGAAAUCCCUCAGCUUAACUGGGGAACUGCGUCUGAUACUGGCGAGCUUGAGUGCAGGAGAGGAACGCGGAAUUCCAGGUGUAGCGGUGAAAUGCGUAGAUAUCUGGAGGAACACCGGUGGCGAAGGCGGCGUUCUGGACUGCAACUGACACUGAGAGACGAAAGCCAGGGGAGCAAACGGG